UUAAAAGUAGUUUAGAAAAAUAUUAAUUUGUGGUAUUAAAGACGAAGAAAAAAUUUUAACAUUUGUUUUCCUUUUAAA
Molecule: transfer RNA, 78 nt
Filed under: Bipalium vagum
Lineage: Eukaryota; Metazoa; Platyhelminthes; Tricladida; Geoplanidae
Description: tRNA-His
Source: RNAcentral